UUCAAGGCCGUCGCCCCAGAAUUAUCAGUGAUUGAGAAGAGUGCACUUUUUCUCUUGGGUUCACCUGUUCUAGCCGAUUCUUUUCCGGACUAUAUAAAUGAAAAAACACGGAAUUUUAGUGAAAGUUUAGAUCGUCUUCUCCAAAUUAACAGUCACAUGGCAUUUACUCUGAUUCGAUAUUGUUUAUUCGUUCCAAAAUUUACGUAUGCUUUGCGGUGUUGUCAGCUCUGGAAGUUCCCAGAACUUCUCCAUAGCUUAGAUGACACCCUAAAGCAUACGCUUUCCACAAUUUUAAACAUAAAAUUUGAUGAACGUUCCUGGACCCAAGCUACACUACCAGUAAGGUUCGGUGGCCUGGGAAUACGAAAAACAUCGGACACAGCUUUACCGGCGUUCUUGUCCUCGGUCCACGCAAAUCGCGCAUUAAUUUUGAAAAUAUUAGAGCA
Molecule: long non-coding RNA, 446 nt
Organism: Aricia agestis (brown argus)
Lineage: Eukaryota; Metazoa; Arthropoda; Insecta; Lepidoptera; Lycaenidae
Exons: 4
Source: RefSeq, a predicted model, not a curated record